Molecule: non-coding RNA, 132 nt
Organism: Jatropha curcas
Lineage: Eukaryota; Viridiplantae; Streptophyta; Magnoliopsida; Malpighiales; Euphorbiaceae
Source: Rfam
GUGUUCAUCCAAAGGAGGGAUGGUUGGCAUCGCCCGUGACAGGGAUGGGAACAGCCUUUGGGCUUACCUGUUAUUAACACGUUCGGUUAUGGCUUCCCACCAUUAUUGGUGGAUCUGUAACCCAAUUUUUUU